GGAGAGGUGACAGAGUGGUCGAUUGUGCAGCACUGGAAAUGCUGUGUCUUCCGAAAGGGGGACCGGGGGUUCGAAUCCCCCCCUCUCCG
Molecule: transfer RNA, 89 nt
Filed under: Planctomycetota bacterium
Lineage: Bacteria; Pseudomonadati; Planctomycetota
Also listed under: 1 other name
Description: Planctomycetes bacterium (activated sludge metagenome) tRNA-Ser
Rfam family: tRNA
About the family: Transfer RNA (tRNA) molecules are approximately 80 nucleotides in length. Their secondary structure includes four short double-helical elements and three loops (D, anti-codon, and T loops).
Source: RNAcentral